Halichondria panicea is the source of this 1893-nucleotide long non-coding RNA. RefSeq lists it as uncharacterized. Lineage: Eukaryota; Metazoa; Porifera; Demospongiae; Suberitida; Halichondriidae. The transcript is spliced from 2 exons. The record is from RefSeq and is a predicted model, not a curated record.
UUCUGGAGAAAGGUUUAAUUUGAACCCCGGAGAUGAUUUUGGUGUGGUAUUAACAGGUACUGUGUUUGCUUUAAACUUAAACGACUCAAAUAAAAGAAAUUACGUUUUUGAAUUUUCAUAAAAACAUACAUGUAACUGAUGCAGAAUGUGUUGACAUUGAAUACUCUGUUCAUUCUGUAAAUAAGAAUGUCAUAAUAAUUAUUAUUUUGCUUGCGAUAGACAGGAAUGCGGCAGCCAUACUGCAGGAAUUCUAUACACAUAUUUGAAAGAGUACAGAGCUCAAAUUAAUAAUCUUCAGAGGAGAUUACUUCUUUCCUUCUUGCUGCUCCUGUGCUUGUCAAUGUCCCUGGGGUAUGGCCUAUAGAAUCAAAUAGUUCUCUCUCUAUACGCAUUUUUGAUCAACAACUAAACGAAUAUAUGUAAAGGACUGUAUUGUAAAAAAUGGCUCUGGUUUGAUGAAGCGAAAUGGAACCAAUUGGAUAGGAAGGGCUAACACUACAUAUACAAUUUUGGCACAAAGGUUUUGCCCGUUAGAUUACUGCAAUAAUAUUUUUGUAGACAUACAGAGUACUGAAAGUACUGAUAACCAGUCUGCUUUCAAUCACAGUGGUGUUCUCUGUGGAGGCUGUGCACCUGGUUUCAGUCUGGCUAUCGGCAGCUCUAGGUGUAUACACUGUUCCAACAACAAUGGGAUUUCCUUUUUUGUUUUGUUCAUUGUAGUCGGUGUUGCGUUUGUAUUAAUUGUUUAUCAAGCUACUAGACCUCACCGUUGUUCACGGAACUAUAAAUGGGUUGAUUUUUUAUGCAAACAUAAUUAGGAUAUUUCAGGGAAUGUUUUUCCCGAACCUUAACCAAGGGGAGCAGCAAAACAUCGUUUACGACAUAAGACUUGUCAUUGCUUGGAUAUUAAAAUCUAGAUUUUGAUAUUGAAACUUGCUUUAUUGACGUGCUUGAUACCUAUGGUAAAAUACCUGUGUAUCUUCGGUUUUUAGCUAAACUCAUCCGUACUAAUUUGCAAGCUUUUAGAUCAGUAUAGUGUUAAAUAAGUUUACUAGUGUUCAAGCUUUUGGACCUGUAGUGUUAGCUUGAAGUCCCGCUUUGAGAUGGUUGUUGGAUGCUAAACUCACUUUCUUCGAAAAUCCUCAUGCUUUUCUUUCUGUUGUGGCAUUACUUAUAUUUCUUUUUUUCUGCUUACCGUACACACUACUACUUUUUGUUGUUGGCUAGCUGAACUAUCUUCCUUUUGAUUGUGCUUCUCGUCUAUUGGUUAAGUUUAAGCCCACCGCGUACCGUACGAUACACACACCAUAGAUACUAUAAAUUACAUGGAUAUGAAACGCCUCUAGAUUACAGUGAUUCCAGAUAGUAUCCGGAGUUUUGCUGGGAGGAGGAUUGUCUCACAGCUACCAGAAAAUGAAGAGCUACUGGCAAGCAAAGAAUCUGUUGUCACAAGAGUCUACGAUUGAAAACUGAAGUGAUACCACUAUGAUUGGCUUUAACUAGGUCUGUAAACCAGACUAUGUAUACCUCAGACAAUGCCUCGCGAGAAGAAGGAACCAUUCAUUGACUGGCGAAAGAAUGACACGAGAAUGUGACGUCCAUAUGUCUAUGUCAAAGCCUCUACUCCACAUCAGCUAUUAUAGCCAAGCAUUAUCAUGAUUCAUUCAUUUCCAAUCUAUCUAGACACAUAGUUUUUGUUAUUAAAUAAUAAUAAUUUGUGCUAUAUUAAAUCCCAGAAUGCACAUGUAAAGUUAUUCUUGUUAUUGUCAAGCCUCCAUCAUCAUCAUUCUCAGUCAGAAAUUUUCAAAAGUCAUCUGAGACGCUCUCAGAGCUGAAACAACUAGAGACACACUUUCAGUAGCCAUUUUUAUUUGGAAAAAUUUGUAUACUAGA